UGGCUGUCGUCAGCUCGUGCCGUGAGGUGUUGGGUUAAGUCCCGCAACGAGCGCAACCCCUAUUGCCAGUUACCAUCAUUCAGUUGGGGACUCUGGCGAGACUGCCGGUGAUAAACCGGAGGAAGGUGGGAUGACGUCAAGUCAUCAUGGCCCUUACGUCCUGGGCUACACACGUGCUACAAUGGUCGGUACAGAGCGAUGCGAAACAGCGAUGUAUUAGCAAAUCGCGCAAAGCCGACCUCAGUUCGGAUUGAAGUCUGAAACCCGACUUCAUGAAGGUGGAUUCGAUAGUAAUCGCAUAUCAGCACGAUGCGGUGAAUACGUUCCCGGGCCUU
This 335-nucleotide ribosomal RNA is filed under the name uncultured Spirochaeta sp. RNAcentral describes it as "bacterial SSU rRNA". It matches the Rfam family "Bacterial small subunit ribosomal RNA", at positions 1046 to 1382 of the family's 1533-position model. The record is from RNAcentral. Lineage: Bacteria; Pseudomonadati; Spirochaetota; Spirochaetia; Spirochaetales; Spirochaetaceae.